GACGAACGCUGGCGGCGUGCUUAACACAUGCAAGUCGAACGAAGUGGCGAACGGGUGAGUAAUGCGUAAUCAACCUGCCCUUGAGAGGGGGACAACAGGUGGAAACGACUGCUAAUACCGCAUACUGAAGGAGGGGAUUGCGGCGGAUUAGCUAGUGGGAGGGGGAACGGCCCACCAAGGCGAUGAGCAGUAGCCGGUCGGAGAGGAUGAACGGCCACAAUGGGACUGAGACACGGCCCAUACUGCUACGGGAGGCAGCAGGGGGGAAUCGUCCGCAAUGGACGAAAGUCUGACGGAGCAACGCCGCGUGAGUGAUGACGGCCUUCGGGUUGUAAAGCUCUGUUAAGCGGGACGCGGUACCGGAAGAGAAAGCCACGGCUAACUACGUGCCAGCAGCCGCGGUAAUUC
This 408-nucleotide ribosomal RNA is filed under the name uncultured bacterium. Its description in RNAcentral is "partial 16S ribosomal RNA". It matches the Rfam family "Bacterial small subunit ribosomal RNA", at positions 28 to 526 of the family's 1533-position model. The record is from RNAcentral.